AGCAGCCGCGGUAACUCCAGCUCCAAUAGCGUAUAUUAAAGUUGUUGCAGUUAAAAAGCUCGUAGUUGAAUUUCGGGAUCAUCAGGUCGGUCGUGCCUCCGGUAUGUACUGGUCUCGAUGGUUCCUCCUUCUUGUAGAACCGUAAUGCCAUUAAUUUGGUGUUGCGGGGAAACAGGACUGUUACUUUGAAAAAUUAGAGUGUUUAAAGCAGGCGAUCGCUUGAAUACAUUAGCAUGGAAUAAUGAAAUAGGACGUUCGAUCCUAUUUUGUUGGUUUCUAGGAUUGACGUAAUGAUUAAUAGGGAUAGUUGGGGGCAUUAGUAUUCAAUUGUCAGAGGUGAAAUUCUUGGAUUUAUUGAAGACUAACUACUGCGAAAGCAUUUGCCAAGGAUGUUUUCAUUAAUCAAGAACGAAAGUUGGGGGCUCGAAGACGAUCAGAUACCGUCCUAGUCUCAACCAUAAACGAUGCCGACCAGGGAUCAGCGGAUGUUGCUUAUAGGACUCCGCUGGCUACC
This 514-nucleotide ribosomal RNA is filed under the name uncultured Glomus. RNAcentral's name for it is "bacterial SSU rRNA". It matches the Rfam family "Eukaryotic small subunit ribosomal RNA", at positions 569 to 1088 of the family's 1831-position model. Lineage: Eukaryota; Fungi; Glomeromycota; Glomeromycetes; Glomerales; Glomeraceae. The record is from RNAcentral.